Molecule: unclassified non-coding RNA, 201 nt
Filed under: plant metagenome
Description: partial contains small subunit ribosomal RNA, internal transcribed spacer 1, and 5.8S ribosomal RNA
Source: RNAcentral
UCUCCGUUGGUGAACCAGCGGAGGGAUCAUUAUCGAGUUUAUAACUCCCAAACCCUAUGUGAACUUACCACUUGUUGCCUCGGCGCGCGCUUCGGUGCCGCCGAGGACACUUAAACUCUUUGCUUUUAUAAGCAUUUCUGAGUGGCCGAAAGGCAAAAUACAAAUGAAUCAAAACUUUCAACAACGGAUCUCUUGGUUCUG